AGUCCUGAAGCCUCUCAUAAGGUGGGCCAAGAAGUCAGUGGGACUCUGGCAGGCAUCUGUCCCCAUGGGGUGACUUUGUGCUCAUCACACAGCUCCAGAGGGCUCUGCUGGGAUCUCCUGGGCUUUUCCUUGCUGAUGAAGAGCUGGAAGAAAGCACUUUAAAAGCAGAUGUAGGAGCAGCCUCCAUUGUGGUGCUCACCAGCAUCAUCAUCACCUUCCUCAGCAUCCCCAGGUGAGCCUUGACAGCAGAAAAAGGGGCAGAGACAACCAGGAGAAAGAGCUCCCAUAGUUGGAGGAACAGCCAGGACCUCUCCAGCUCGGGUCAUUCUGUAAAAGAAGCAAUGCUCCUGCCUAGGGUGACUUUCUUAGAGGAGGAGCUGGGCUGCUCCAUGCCAGCAAAGCUUUGCAGAGCUGUGAGACCCAGGAGAGCAUCAUCUGCCCAGCUUCCCUGGUGCCAGAUGGGACCCCCCACAUCCUAAUUCCAAACUGCUGUGGGAAGAGCAUGGACCUGGGAUGGAAGAUGAGGCUGCAGGAUGCACAGAGCCAUCAUUUGCUCUGAGGACAGGGAUUCUGGAGGGAAACAUUCAUAUUCUGGGCCACCACGUUUCCCUCCAUCUGUUGCUCCAAGGAGAAGGACUCCAAAAUAAAUUCCAAAAUCCCUGGUGAGGGAGAAAACUCUGGAUGCUAUUUCUAUGGCAGGCUGUUCCAGGCUUCCUCACAUCAUCUUUCU
This is a long non-coding RNA of Calypte anna (Anna's hummingbird), 730 nucleotides long. RefSeq lists it as uncharacterized. NCBI's taxonomy places the organism in Eukaryota, Metazoa, Chordata, Aves, Apodiformes, Trochilidae. The transcript is spliced from 3 exons. The record is from RefSeq and is a predicted model, not a curated record.